UACAGAGGGUGCGAGCGUUGUUCGGAAUUACUGGGCGUAAAGCGUGCGCAGGCGGCCCUUUAAGUCUGACGGUGAAAUGCCGGGGCUCAACCCCGUGCCCGCCGCGGAUACUGGAGGGCUGGAGACACGUAGAGGCAAGCGGAAUUCCGGGUGUAGCGGUGGAAUGCGUAGAGAUCCGGAAGAACACCGGAGGCGAAGGCGGCUUGCUGGGCGUAGUCUGACGCUGAGGCGCGAAAGCGUGGGGAGCGAACAGG
RNAcentral lists this ribosomal RNA (254 nucleotides) under uncultured bacterium. Its description in RNAcentral is "partial 16S ribosomal RNA". It matches the Rfam family "Bacterial small subunit ribosomal RNA", at positions 524 to 776 of the family's 1533-position model. The record is from RNAcentral.